AGUGAACGCUGGCGGCGUGCUUAAUACAUGCAAGUCGAACGAUGAAGUCCUAGCUUGCUAGGAUGGAUUAGUGGCGCACGGGUGAGUAAUAUAUAGUUAAUCUGCCUUGCACUGAGGAACAACAGUUGGAAACGAUUGCUAAUGCCUCAUACUCCAACUUUACAUAAGUUAAGUUGGGAAAGUCUUUUCGGUGCAAGAUGAGACUAUAUCGUAUCAGCUAGUUGGUAAGGUAAUGGCUUACCAAGGCUAUGACGCGUAACUGGUCUGAGAGGAUGAUCAGUCACAUUGGAACUGAGACACGGUCCAAACUCCUACGGGAGGCAGCAGUAAGGAAUAUUGUGCAAUGGGGGAAACCCUGACGCAGCAACGCCGCGUGGAGGAUGACACUUUUCGGAGCGUAAACUCCUUUUGUUAGGGAAGAAUAAUGACGGUACCUAACGAAUAAGCACCGGCUAACUCCGUG
Molecule: ribosomal RNA, 463 nt
Filed under: uncultured bacterium
Lineage: Bacteria
Description: partial 16S ribosomal RNA
Rfam family: Bacterial small subunit ribosomal RNA
Source: RNAcentral